CAACUAUUUAUCAAUUUUGAUUGUUUUAUCAUUUUAACAAAAAUCCACCAUUUCCGGUAUUCGAUAUAUUUACAAUAUUGCAACAAAAGCAACAACCACAAAAAUGAAUUUUUUUUUUCAUCGACGACGACAACGACAUUGAUGAAAAAAUAGCAAAAUAGGAAUGUACUUAUAAUAAUCAUGAAAAUUUACAGUACAUUUACCCAAUCACCAUCAUGAAUGAAUUUAUUCCACACACUCAACUGAUCGAUCAAGGUAAUUUUAACUGGAAGCUUAAUUUAAAUUUAAUUUCCCUUUUUUCCAUUCUCGACGAAGUAAGGUAAAUUCAAAGUAGUUGUGGUGGUGGUAACGGAUCACUAUUCACACCAUCUCAUUAGAAUGCUAAUGAUCAAUAACAGCAACGACAAUCAAGUUCAAAAAUCAAAGAAAAAUCUUUAUCUGGAAUGUUCUUCUUACGUUCAUCUCAUCUUAUUCAAAUAUGAUGAUGAUGGACAAAUAAACAAUCUAUAUGCAUCGUCAUCAAUACAGCAGUGAAAAUUAUAGAAAACAAAUGACGACGAAUGAAACAUGAUGCCCAGAACAAUGAUGAAAAUACAUGAAUUUCUCUAGCCAUCUCUAUAGACACAAAAACAAAAUACAAUAGUCAUCUGGGGUGAAGAAGAAGGUUUGCCAUAUCUUUAUGAAGAGAAAACCUCGACUUUGAAAAUGUGAAAAAAAAAAUCUAAUCAUGUAAUACAAUUGAAUUGAAUUGAAUUUUCAUUCUUCA
This is a non-coding RNA of Dermatophagoides farinae (American house dust mite), 766 nucleotides long. NCBI's taxonomy places the organism in Eukaryota, Metazoa, Arthropoda, Arachnida, Sarcoptiformes, Pyroglyphidae. The record is from RefSeq and is a predicted model, not a curated record.